UAAAGCUUGUGGUAAACAUAACUUGACGAUACUUUGAUGUUUUAUUCUACAACAUAAACUGCACACACUCACACCCCGAACUGUCUUAUCAUAAAAACUGCCUUAUCUUAAAACCCCAUAGGAAAAUCUCGGCAGUGAAUUAGUCUCUAGUCUCAAACCACAUUUGUUUCAUUUAUCUUAUUUCUCUCAGUAUAAACCCACAGCAGGAUGCAGGUCAUAUUGAACCCCAGGUCAAUGUUCUAGCGGAUGGUUUAGCGGUGUCCCUCCUCUAUGAGCCCCUGCCGGACCCCAGCGAGCCCCAUAUACGAGGCCUCCUCACCAGACUAGAGGCAGUGUCUCGGACUCUCCAUAGGAAGGGCUAUGAGGAAGAGAAGGAGGAAAAGGAGAAAUGUGCACUUGAAAACAGAGUUAUCUAUAUACGCUCUUACCUGCAGGACAGGGUGAGCGGUCUGCGCUCUCUGCUGCAGGUUCAGCGUGAGUGUGACGCGAGUGUGUGUGCGGUUCAGAGCGGGUUACAGAAGCGCUGGGCUCUGCUGGAGGAGU
This 543-nucleotide long non-coding RNA is filed under the name Sinocyclocheilus anshuiensis. RNAcentral describes it as "lncRNA (ENSSANG00000005239.1)". Lineage: Eukaryota; Metazoa; Chordata; Actinopteri; Cypriniformes; Cyprinidae. The record is from RNAcentral.